GAAGCCUUGUGGGGCCAACUAUGAUGCUGAUAAUGGAACUCUCUUGAAAGGGUCUAUAUGCAUUCCCAUGUAAAGACUGAGUAAAUCCCAGACAUAGCCAGCUUUGAUCUGUAUUUAAGUAAGUGAUCUGUUUGAAGCAGUAUUUACAUGUAAGGCCUGUGGAGCUAUUCAUUACCUGUGAGACCUGCCUCUAUGAGUUGAGGAAACAUUAACUUACUCUCUGCAUCUUCAACGAGCGAAGGAAGGAAAUGAGGUGUGUGCUUGGUGUCCUGAGCUGAGCUGAACUGUUCAAACCAUCAGCACAUCAUAAGGGACUGUAUACAGUCACAACUGACCAGGGGUGUAGUGGUAAGAUAAGAGCCCCUCAAUGUCCUCAAAGAUGUGACCAUUGACUGGCUCUCUCAAGUAAUGGGCAUGGGAUAAUAGAUCUUUCCGUGGAAAUAGGAUGUUUGAAGAAAUGUGAAACAUGAAGGCAAGACGACUACAUUAUUCCCAUCAAGAUAUGACUGAAAUACUGUAAUUUCUGUUAACAAUAUAUCAUGUGAAAUACACACAACAUUUCUAUGUCACAUUUUUUAAAAAGAUUUAAGACAUUUUUACAUCAUUUAUUUCCAUUUGUGUAUUGCCACUAAUUUAUUGUCCUACUUUUCUGGUGAAGUACACAGUGUUAUUGAACUAUGUGUGUUUGUUUGUGUGUGUGUGUGUGUGUGUGUGUGUGUGUGUGUGUGUGUGUGUAUGCACGGCAAAUACACCUGCUUUCUGUCUAUUUUGUGUAAACCUUUGACUUGCCAAGCACUCCAUGCAGAGCAAGACCAAUACUUUUGUUUUACAAAGUGGCAUUUCCUUGGUGUUUUGUUAAACUGUGACU
Long non-coding RNA from Alosa sapidissima (American shad), 868 nucleotides. RefSeq lists it as uncharacterized. Lineage: Eukaryota; Metazoa; Chordata; Actinopteri; Clupeiformes; Clupeidae. The record is from RefSeq and is a predicted model, not a curated record. The transcript has 3 exons.